AGAUUAAGAUUUAUAUGUAUUUUAUAAAAAAAAUAUUUUUUAUAUAAGUAUUUUUAUGAAUAUAAAGAUUAGUAUUAUAGUUUAUUGUAUAGUGAUAGAUCAUUGAAAUACAAGAAUUAAAGUUAAUAUAAAGAAGGUUUUAUUUAUUGUACCUUGUGUAUCAGGGUUUAUUAAAAUAAUUUAAUUACUUAGUUUUCUCGAGUUAAUAAGAGCUAAUACUAUAUAAAUUUAAUUGUUGAAUAAAUUUUUUUAAUAUAGUGUUAGAAAUGAAAUGUUAUUCGUUUUUUAAGAUAUCUAGUUUUUUAAGAAAUAAAUUUAAUUUAGAUUAUAUAUUUUAUUGUUUUUAUUAUUUAGAACGGUAAAUGUAUAAAUUAAUAUUUUAAGGGAUAAGCUUUAAAAUAAAUGUUUAUAAUAAUUUUUUAAUUUAAUGAAUAAUAGUAGGAUUGGAAAUUUUUAUCUUUAGUAUGUUAUAAUUAAUUUUCAUUUAUAAUAAGAUUUUUAUUAGUAUUUAAAUUUUUUAUUAAAAUACAAUAUAUAAUAUGGAAGUAUGGGUAAUAAUGAUAGAAUUAGUAUAGUUAGUGUGUAAAUAUUUUGUUAAUGAAAGGUUAAAUUAAGGAAUUCGGCAAAUAUAUUUUUCGCCUGUUUAUUAAAAACAUGUCUUUUUGAUCAUAAUUUAAAGUCUAGCCUGCCCAAUGAGGAGUUGAAUGGCCGCGGUAUUUUGACCGUGCAAAGGUAGCAUAAUCAUUAGUUUUUUAAUUGAAAGCUGGAAUGAAUGGUUGGACGAGAAAAUAGCUGUCUCAAUUUAAUUUUAAUUAGAACUUUAUUUUUAAGUAAGAAAGCUUAAAUAUUUUUAAAAGACGAGAAGACCCUAUAGAGUUUUAUAUUUUUUUAUGUAUGAAUAGUUUAGAAUUUUAAAUAUUUAUAAAUAAAAAAUUAUUUUGUUGGGGUGACAGAAAAAUUAGUUUAACUUUUUUUACUAUUUAACAUUAAUAUAUGAUUGAAUGAUCCGUUAGUUACGAUUAUAAGAUUAAAUUACCUUAGGGAUAACAGCGUAAUUUUUUUUGAGAGUUCAUAUCGAAAAAAGAGUUUGCGACCUCGAUGUUGGAUUAAAAUUAACUUUUGGUGUAGGAGCUAAAAGGUUAGGUCUGUUCGACCUUUAAAAUUUUACAUGAUCUGAGUUUAAACCGGCGUGAGCCAGGUUGGUUUCUAUCUUUAAAUUAAUAAAAUAUUUUAGUACGAAAGGACCAAAUAUUUAUAACAUUUAUUUUGUAUUUGAUUAUUAUU
Molecule: ribosomal RNA, 1284 nt
Filed under: Eudicella smithii
Lineage: Eukaryota; Metazoa; Arthropoda; Insecta; Coleoptera; Scarabaeidae
Description: 16S ribosomal RNA
Rfam family: Bacterial large subunit ribosomal RNA (bases 1043-1201)
Source: RNAcentral